This 82-nucleotide microRNA precursor is filed under the name Ictidomys tridecemlineatus (thirteen-lined ground squirrel). RNAcentral's name for it is "miRNA (ENSSTOG00000027343.1)". The record is from RNAcentral. Lineage: Eukaryota; Metazoa; Chordata; Mammalia; Rodentia; Sciuridae.
GUGCCUGCCCUCAAGGAGCUCACAGUCUAGCGAGGAUGGCAGAUGUGCCAGCUCACGUGGGACCUGCCUGGUGGGCUGGCAC